RNAcentral lists this ribosomal RNA (496 nucleotides) under Atlantolacerta andreanskyi. RNAcentral's name for it is "partial 16S ribosomal RNA". It matches the Rfam family "Bacterial large subunit ribosomal RNA", at positions 1851 to 2598 of the family's 2925-position model. Lineage: Eukaryota; Metazoa; Chordata; Lepidosauria; Squamata; Lacertidae. The record is from RNAcentral.
GGUCCCGCCUGCCCAGUGACCCCUUCAACGGCCGCGGUAUCCUAACCGUGCAAAGGUAGCAUAAUCACUUGUCCUUUAAAUAAGGACUAGAAUGAACGGCUAAAUGAGGACUAAACUGUCUCUUGUAGUUGACCAAUGAAACUGAUCUUACAGUCCAAAAGCUGUAAUAAACACACAAGACGAGAAGACCCUGUGGAGCUUUAAAACCAAGCCUCAAUCAUUUUGUUGUCCUUGGUUUUUAGUUGGGGCGACUUCGGAGUACAAAAAAACCCCCGAUAUGGAACCUCCCACAUCAAGGUUAACACACCAAAAUUAAUCUUGACCCAGUAAUACUUAUAUUAUCUGAUCAACGAACCAAGUUACCCCAGGGAUAACAGCGCCAUCCCCUUCUAGAGUCCCUAUCGACAAGGGGGUUUACGACCUCGAUGUUGGAUCAGGACACCCAAAUAGUGCAGCCGCUAUUAAAGGUUCGUUUGUUCAACGAUUAAUAGUCCUA